UUCAAAUUGAUAAGCAUUUUUAAUUGAUUUUUUUUGCUGUGUUCCAAAUAGUAUCAACAAGUGACGAAGCAUUUGACAUUAACAUAAACAAAAUUUAGAAACAAAUAAUGCCGCUAGCUAAUUCGGCAGACCCAUGGCGUAUUCAAAACAUAGGGAACGAGUGCAUAUCACAAGAGGAUUUAUCUAUGGUUAUCGAUGAGCCUAUAGAACCAGUUGCUUCUAAUGAAAAUGCUAAAGAAGAUGAACAUGAAAUUGAUGUCAAAUAUUUAGUAAAAGAAGGCCAUGACAAAGCCGAACCUUCGCAGUUUGAACUGCUUAAAGUUCUUGGGGAAGGGUCUUUUGGAAAAGUUUUUCUUGUUCGUAAAGUAGUUGGAUCGGAUGCCGGAACUCUGUAUGCUAUGAAGGUUGUUAAAAAAGCAACAUUGAAGGUCCGAGAUAGGGUUCGGACUAAAAUGGAACGAAAUAUUCUAGUUGAUGUUGAACAUGCCUUCAUAGUCAAAUUGCACUAUGCGUUCCAAACUGCAGGAAAAUUGUAUUUAAUUCUAGAUUUUUUGAGGGGAGGAGAUUUAUUUACUAGGUUAAGCAAGGAAGUGAUGUUUACAGAAGAAGAUGUAAAAUUUUAUCUUGCUGAAUUAGCUUUGGCGCUGAGUCAUUUACAUAGUUUGGGAAUUAUAUAUAGAGAUUUAAAACCUGAAAAUAUUUUAUUAGAUCAAGAUGGUCACAUUGCCUUGACUGAUUUUGGCCUAUCAAAGCUUCCUUUAGCAGAGGACAAGACUUAUAGCUUUUGUGGUACUGUAGAAUAUAUGGCUCCUGAGGUAGUUAAUAGGAAAGGACAUUCGUUUGCUGCUGAUUGGUGGUCGUUUGGUGUUCUGAUGUUUGAAAUGCUCACUGGAAAUUUACCUUUUCAUGGUAAUACAAGCCAGGAAACUAUGACGAGAAUUCUUAAAGCAAAACUCGGAAUGCCAAGUAAUUUAACACCUGAAGCUCAGUCAUUAUUAAGAGCCUUGUUUAAGAGAAAUCCUCAAAAUAGAUUAGCUGCUGGUCCAGAUGGCGUAGAAGACUUGAAGAGGCAUGAAUUCUUUGCAACUGUUGACUGGGAUGCAUUACUUCAUAAACAAAUACCACCACCGUUUAGACCAGCUGUAUCCCGAGCUGAAGAUGCUUUCUAUUUUGAUACAGAAUACACAAGUAAAACUCCAAAAGAUUCUCCUGGAAUACCUGCUUCUGCAAAUGCUCACGAAUUAUUUAGGGGAUUCAGUUUUGUAGCACCAUGUUUGCUUGAAGAAGAUAGGACUAGAAAUCAACAAGUAAAUAAUUCAACAGAAGUUUCCAAACCUCCAUUAGUGAAUAAGCCUUGUGCCUUUUCUGAUGAAUAUGAACUAAUGGGUAUUCUAGGUAGAGGGACAUUUUCUGUGUGUCGUUUAUGUGAACAUAAAGCUACUAAAAAACAGUAUGCAGUAAAAAUUAUAGAUAAAUCCUCACAUGACUGCCGAGAAGAAGUAGAAAUUUUGUUACGCUAUGGUCAGCACCCAGGAAUUGUAACUCUGUAUGAUGUUCAUGAAGAUGGAUCAAAUAUGUAUUUAGUAACUGAACUUCUACGUGGUGGUGAACUUCUCGAUAGAAUUUUAGCUUUAGGAAAGCUUUCAGAGAAUGAAGCUUGGGCCAUAAUGAAAACUGUUGGAGCUGCGGUUUCAUAUCUUCACAUGCAUGGAGUUGUUCACAGAGAUCUUAAGCCUUCUAAUUUAUUAUAUGCUACUGUGGAUUGUAACCCAGAAAGCCUAAAAAUUUGUGACUUGGGUUUUGCUAAACAAUUAAGAGCUGAUAAUGGCCUAUUAAUGACUCCUUGUUACACUGCUAAUUUUGUUGCACCAGAAGUAUUAAAAAAGCAAGGAUAUGAUGCAGCAUGUGAUAUUUGGUCUUUGGGUGUUCUACUUUAUAUCAUGUUAGCUGGUCAAACUCCAUUUGCCAGUGGGGAAAAUGAUAAACCUGAAGCCAUUCUUGCCAGGAUUGGUUCCGGCCAAGUUAAUCUGGAAACUGGGGUUUGGACAAGCAUAAGUGCAGAAGCAAAGAGCUUGCUAGGACAAAUGCUACAUAUAAAUCCAACAAGAAGGCCUACAGCUUCUCAAGUACUAUUACAUCCUUGGUUAUCUCCGAGUAAGCCCCAAACAAAAUCUAAUGUUGUACCCAGCUCUCCGAAUACUCCAAGAUUGGAUGCUUCGGCAAUAAGAAAUGCUGUUGAUGCUACAUACAGGGCAAUUGCUAAUUCACCACAAGCAGCUAAUUUGGGACCUGUGGUUCUGUCAGAACUUGCCCGAAGGCGUGCUAAAGAUAAAUUACAUAAUAAUAUUUAAUAAUGGCUUCUAGAUAGAUGAUAUAAAUAUCUACUGUAACAGCUGAUACUAUUUAGAAAUCACGUUUAACAUUGAGUGCUGUAUAGCAUUCCUUGUGCAUAUGCACAAGAUAUUUUGGAUAUUAUCCUACUAUAUGAAAUAAUAUGCAGGAAAAUAUGAUUUCAUGAAGGCAAAUAAUAGGAAGUUUUAUACCCAGGUGGUAUUAUGGUAGUGAAUAACAUAGUUAUUUCAUACUCUAAAUAUUUAGUAUCAGGUCACACAAUUUUCAAUAAU
This is an RNA transcript of Ctenocephalides felis (cat flea), 2624 nucleotides long. It is a transcript of the gene named ribosomal protein S6 kinase 2 beta, with no coding region annotated. The record is from RefSeq and is a predicted model, not a curated record. The transcript is spliced from 12 exons. NCBI's taxonomy places the organism in Eukaryota, Metazoa, Arthropoda, Insecta, Siphonaptera, Pulicidae.